RNAcentral lists this small nuclear RNA (139 nucleotides) under Sphenodon punctatus (tuatara). Its description in RNAcentral is "U4 spliceosomal RNA (ENSSPUG00000009834.1)". It matches the Rfam family "U4 spliceosomal RNA". From Rfam's summary of the family: U4 small nuclear RNA (U4 snRNA) is a component of the major U2-dependent spliceosome. The structure of U4 snRNA from yeast and human has been reported. U4 snRNA presents a k-turn RNA motif in the 5p-SL related to recognition of Snu13 protein. Lineage: Eukaryota; Metazoa; Chordata; Lepidosauria; Sphenodontia; Sphenodontidae. The record is from Rfam by way of RNAcentral.
AGCUUUGCGCAGUGGCAGUAUCGUAGCCUAUGAGGUUAAACUGAGGUGUGAUUAUUGCUAGUUGAAAACUUUACCCAAUACCCUGCUACACUGGCUUGAAAGAGUUGGUGUUUGCAAUUUUUGUCAGUCUCUGCAGAGA